UUUAAGCUUCCUACGGGAGGCUGCAGUGGGGAAUUUUGGACAAUGGGCGCAAGCCUGAUCCAGCAAUGCCGCGUGCAGGAAGAAGGCCUUCGGGUUGUAAACUGCUUUUGUACGGAGCGAAAAGGCUCUCUCUAAUACAGGGGGCUCAUGACGGUACCGUAAGAAUAAGCACCGGCUAACUACGUGCCAGCAGCCGCGGUAAUACGUAGGGUGCAAGCGUUAAUCGGAAUUACUGGGCGUAAAGCGUGCGCAGGCGGUUUUGUAAGACAGGCGUGAAAUCCCCGGGCUCAACCUGGGAAUGGCGCUUGUGACUGCAAAGCUGGAGUGCGGCAGAGGGGGAUGGAAUUCCGCGUGUAGCAGUGAAAUGCGUAGAUAUGCGGAGGAACACCGAUGGCGAAGGCAAUCCCCUGGGCCUGCACUGACGCUCAUGCACGAAAGCGUGGGGAGCAAACAGGAUUAGAUAACUUGUAGUCGAAUUCUU
RNAcentral lists this ribosomal RNA (481 nucleotides) under uncultured bacterium. RNAcentral's name for it is "bacterial SSU rRNA". It matches the Rfam family "Bacterial small subunit ribosomal RNA", at positions 329 to 803 of the family's 1533-position model. The record is from RNAcentral.